This 500-nucleotide ribosomal RNA is filed under the name uncultured bacterium. RNAcentral's name for it is "partial 16S ribosomal RNA". It matches the Rfam family "Bacterial small subunit ribosomal RNA", at positions 30 to 523 of the family's 1533-position model. The record is from RNAcentral.
AUUGAACGCUGGCGGAAUGCUUUACACAUGCAAGCCGAACGGCAGCACGGACUUCGGUCUGGUGGCGAGUGACGAACGGGUGAGUAAUGUAUCGGAACGUGCCCAGUCGUGGGGGAUAACGUAGUGAAAAUUACGCUAAUACCGCAUACGAUCUAUGGAUGAAAGCGGAGGAUCGCAAGACCUCGCGCGAUUGGAGCGGCCGAUAUCAGAUUAGGUAGUUGGUGGGGUAAAGGCGCACCAAGCCAACGAUCUGUAGCUGGUCGGAGAGGACGACCAGCCCAACUGGAACUGGGACACGGUCCAGACUCCUACGGGAGGCAGCAGUGGGGAAUUUUGGACAAUGGGCGAAAGCCUGAUCCAGCCAUUCCGCGUGCAGGAUGAAGGCCCUCGGGUUGUAAACUGCUUUUGUACAGAACGAAAAGGUUUCUACUAAUACUAGGAGCUCAUGACGGUACUGUAAGAAUAAGCACCGGCUAACUACGUGCCAGCAGCCGCCGUAA